Molecule: ribosomal RNA, 525 nt
Filed under: uncultured eukaryote
Lineage: Eukaryota
Description: bacterial SSU rRNA
Rfam family: Eukaryotic small subunit ribosomal RNA
Source: RNAcentral
UAGUCAUAUGCUUGUCUCAAAGAUUAAGCCAUGCAUGUCUAAGUAUAAGCAAUAUAUAAAGUGAAACUGCGAAUGGCUCAUUAAAUCAGUUAUCGUUUAUUUGAUGAUACCUUACUACAUGGAUAACCGUGGUAAUUCUAGAGCUAAUACAUGCAUAAAAGUCCCGACUUUUGGAGGGAUGUAUUUAUUAGAUAAAAAACCAAUGCCGAUUGGCUCUUUGGUGAUUCAUAGUAACUUAACGAAUUGCACAGCCUUGUGCUGGCAAUGGUUCAUUCAAAUUUCUGCCCUAUCAACUUUCGAUGGUAAGAUAUAGGCUUACCAUGGUUUUAACGGGUAACGGAGAAUUAGGGUUCGAUUCCGGAGAGGGAGCCUGAGAAACGGCUACCACAUCCAAGGAAGGCAGCAGGCGCGCAAAUUACCCAAUUCCGACACAGGGAGGUAGUGACAAUAAAUAACAAUGCCGGGCCUUUAUAGGUCUGGCAAUUGGAAUGAGAACAAUUUAAAUCCCUUAUCGAGGAUCAAUUG